GCUCAACUGCACGCUCCUUUACCUGGCAUCAUAAAAAUCAGGUAAUUUCCUUCCUCUAGAAUCCACAAUUACAAUAGAGUUCGAGUAUUUAACAAAAACGUCCCUAAAUACAAAUACCUAGGUUCAUCUCUACAAUUAGAAAAUCGAAUGAUUUAAUCCUUGAUGUUUGAAUUCAUUAACAAAUUAAUCAUUCUAUCUAAAUUCUAAUUAUCUUGGUUCACAAAUUACUCCUCUUAUACAGUGAGCAAAGACUUGAUGCUGCAAGCAAUUUUUUUUCUUUACACAUUUGAUGGUUGUCUGUUAUCCUUAAAAUGAAAAUUCUUUUUGUUGUUUUAAGAACUAAUUUCUUCCUCCAACUUACAAGCUUCAAAUCCUUUAUCCUCUGUUGCCAGCAGGCAUCAAGAGUUCCUGCCUCCUAGAAGAUUUUCCAAGUUCAAGAUCAUUUAGCAUUAUACCAUGAUCUAUGUUGUGGGGUGAAGUGAAAGCUGUAAACGAGCGAACACCACAAAGAAGAGCAGUCUAAACUUAUUUUCAUUUUUCAAAAGAAACAGUGAUCUACUCAAAGACACCUGCUUUUCAAACUCGUAGCAAGCAUUCUCAAGAAGUUAAUCUGGUUUAUCAAACUGAGAAAUGACUUUCAAUUGCCACUGAGCCAGUAGCCUGAAAGUCAAAUGCUUAAUUUGCAUUGUAGGUCAAUGGAUUCAUACUCCCACUUCCACCUUCUUGUGAUGUAGACACAUACGAUGAGCUGUUAGUUGAAUUGGUUGUAACAGAGAAUGAGUAGCACGUAAGAUAUAUAAAUACAUUGAUACUGAACAUGUAAAAUCAUCAAUUGAAAUAGAAUGACAGAAUUCUUCUUCCUACUCUAUUUCUUUCUCUCUUCUUCUAUCUCCACUCUUUCCUCCUCUUCUUCUCCUUCUUCUUCCCUUUCCCUGUUUCCAUGCUA
This 946-nucleotide unclassified non-coding RNA is filed under the name Hevea brasiliensis (rubber tree). The record is from RNAcentral. Lineage: Eukaryota; Viridiplantae; Streptophyta; Magnoliopsida; Malpighiales; Euphorbiaceae.